RNAcentral lists this ribosomal RNA (435 nucleotides) under uncultured bacterium. Its description in RNAcentral is "bacterial SSU rRNA". It matches the Rfam family "Bacterial small subunit ribosomal RNA", at positions 29 to 433 of the family's 1533-position model. The record is from RNAcentral.
AUUGAACGCUGGCGGUAUGCUUAACACAUGCAAGUCGAACGGUAACAGGCCUUCGGGCGCUGACGAGUGGCGGACGGGUGAGUAACGCGUAGGAAUCUGCCUUAUAGUGGGGGACAACGUGGGGAAACUCACGCUAAUACCGCAUACGCCCUGAGGGGGAAAGCGGGGGACCCUAAAUAGAGCGCACUGGGGAGUGCGUUGUAUUUAGGGCCUCGCGCAAUAGGAGCGGCCGAUGUCGGAUUAGCUAGUUGGUGAGGUAAAGGCUUACCAAGGCGACGAUCCGUAGCUGGUCUGAGAGGAUGAUCAGCCACACUGGGACUGAGACACGGCCCAGACUCCUACGGGAGGCAGCAGUGGGGAAUUUUGGACAAUGGGGGGCAACCCUGAUCCAGCCAUGCCGCGUGAGUGAAGAAGGCCUCGGUUGGUUAAAGGUAC